AACGAACGCUGGCGGCAGGCUUAACACAUGCAAGUCGAACGCUCGUAGCAAUACGGGAGUGGCAGACGGGUGAGUAACGCGUGGGAACGUGCCCAAAGGUACGGAACAACUCCGGGAAACUGGAGCUAAUGCCGUAUGUGCCCGAAAGGGGAAAGAUUUAUCGCCUUUGGAUCGGCCCGCGUCGGAUUAGCUAGUUGGUGGGGUAAUGGCCUACCAAGGCGACGAUCCGUAGCUGGUCUGAGAGGAUGAUCAGCCACACUGGGACUGAGACACGGCCCAGACUCCUACGGGAGGCAGCAGUGGGGAAUAUUGGACAAUGGGCGCAAGCCUGAUCCAGCCAUGCCGCGUGAGUGAUGAGGGCCUUAGGGUUGUAAAGCUCUUUCGCCAGGGACGAUAAUGACGGUACCUGGAUAAGAAGCCCCGGCUAACUUCGUGCCAGCAGCCGCGGUAA
RNAcentral lists this ribosomal RNA (451 nucleotides) under uncultured bacterium. RNAcentral describes it as "partial 16S ribosomal RNA". It matches the Rfam family "Bacterial small subunit ribosomal RNA", at positions 29 to 523 of the family's 1533-position model. The record is from RNAcentral.